RNAcentral lists this ribosomal RNA (495 nucleotides) under uncultured bacterium. RNAcentral's name for it is "partial 16S ribosomal RNA". It matches the Rfam family "Bacterial small subunit ribosomal RNA", at positions 28 to 507 of the family's 1533-position model. The record is from RNAcentral.
GACGAACGCUGGCGGCGUGCCUAAUACAUGCAAGUAGAACGCUGAAGGAGGAGCUUGCUCUUCUGGAUGAGUUGCGAACGGGUGAGUAACGCGUAGGUAACCUGCCUGGUAGCGGGGGAUAACUAUUGGAAACGAUAGCUAAUACCGCAUAACAGUAGAUGUUGCAUGACAUUUACUAAAAAGGUGCAAUUGCAUCACUACCAGAUGGACCUGCGUUGUAUUAGCUAGUUGGUGGGGUAACGGCUCACCAAGGCGACGAUACAUAGCCGACCUGAGAGGGUGAUCGGCCACACUGGGACUGAGACACGGCCCAGACUCCUACGGGAGGCAGCAGUAGGGAAUCUUCGGCAAUGGACGGAAGUCUGACCGAGCAACGCCGCGUGAGUGAAGAAGGUUUUCGGAUCGUAAAGCUCUGUUGUAAGAGAAGAACGAGUGUGAGAGUGGAAAGUUCACACUGUGACGGUAUCUUACCAGAAAGGGACGGCUAACUACGUG